CCCCAACUGCGGGAAACUCGACUGCA
Molecule: non-coding RNA, 26 nt
Filed under: Cricetulus griseus (Chinese hamster)
Lineage: Eukaryota; Metazoa; Chordata; Mammalia; Rodentia; Cricetidae
Source: RNAcentral